Molecule: ribosomal RNA, 462 nt
Filed under: Sporosarcina globispora
Lineage: Bacteria; Bacillati; Bacillota; Bacilli; Caryophanales; Caryophanaceae
Description: bacterial SSU rRNA
Rfam family: Bacterial small subunit ribosomal RNA
Source: RNAcentral
GCUUGCUCUCUGAUUUUAGCGGCGGACGGGUGAGUAACACGUGGGCAACCUGCCCUACAGAUGGGGAUAACUCCGGGAAACCGGGGCUAAUACCGAAUAAUCAGUUUGUCCGCAUGGACAAACUCUGAAAGACGGUUUCGGCUGUCACUGUAGGAUGGGCCCGCGGCGCAUUAGCUAGUUGGUGGGGUAAUGGCCUACCAAGGCGACGAUGCGUAGCCGACCUGAGAGGGUGAUCGGCCACACUGGGACUGAGACACGGCCCAGACUCCUACGGGAGGCAGCAGUAGGGAAUCUUCCACAAUGGACGAAAGUCUGAUGGAGCAAUGCCGCGUGAGCGAAGAAGGUUUUCGGAUCGUAAAGCUCUGUUGUAAGGGAAGAACAAGUACGGGAGUAACUGCCCGUGCCAUGACGGUACCUUAUUAGAAAGCCACGGCUAACUACGUGCCAGCAGCCGCGGUAAUA